Molecule: ribosomal RNA, 449 nt
Filed under: uncultured bacterium
Lineage: Bacteria
Description: partial 16S ribosomal RNA
Rfam family: Bacterial small subunit ribosomal RNA
Source: RNAcentral
AACGAACGCUGGCGGCAGGCCUAACACAUGCAAGUCGAACGCUGUAGCAAUACAGAGUGGCAGACGGGUGAGUAACGCGUGGGAAUCUUCCUAUCGGUACGGAAUAGCUCAGGGAAACUUGGGGUAAUACCGGAUGCGCCCUUCGGGGGAAAGAUUUAUCGCCGAUAGAUGAGCCCGCGUCUGAUUAGCUAGUUGGUGAGGUAAUGGCUCACCAAGGCGACGAUCAGUAGCUGGUCUGAGAGGAUGACCAGCCACACUGGGACUGAGACACGGCCCAGACUCCUACGGGAGGCAGCAGUGGGGAAUAUUGGACAAUGGGGGCAACCCUGAUCCAGCCAUGCCGCGUGAGUGACGAAGGUCUUCGGAUUGUAAAGCUCUUUUGGCGGGGACGAUAAUGACGGUACCCGCAGAAUAAGCCCCGGCUAACUUCGUGCCAACAGCCGCCGUAA